GCGAGUAUAGCUCAGUUGGUAGAGCGUGGUCCUUCCAAGUCCAAUGUCGCGUGUUCGAGUCACGUUACUCGCU
This is a non-coding RNA of Genlisea aurea, 73 nucleotides long. The record is from Rfam. NCBI's taxonomy places the organism in Eukaryota, Viridiplantae, Streptophyta, Magnoliopsida, Lamiales, Lentibulariaceae.